CACCCCAUGCUGCGCCCCCACACGGACAGCACCCCCGUCACCCGGCACCACACCACCGAGGUCCGGCUCGUGGACCCCCUCAUGCUGGACACCGCCCCACCCAAGACCAGGAUGAUGAGGAAGGCAUUUGGGCAUAACCAUUUCCAAAAACCAAAGCUCUUAUGUUGUUUUGUUGGGAUGAUUCAGUCACUACUGGAGGAGCACAGCCAUGCCAUGAUGCUGAAACGACACACUGUCCAUCUGACCAGACAUCUGACCGGACCUUACCUUCAAUCUGUUGCCUUUGCUGGAGAGGGCUGCCAUUUUGUGUCAGUUCAGUGGCAGGGGUGGAGACAUUUGACUGGGAGGGCCAGGCGAAGAGAUUGAUGGCUGAGCAGAUGAUUGGGCUAAAGACUGGGGCAGGACUAGAGCGUGGACCUUGACACAUGGAUACAUAUCCACCUCCUGACAUUUUAUGCCAGUGGAAAGGAAUUUCUUCUUCCACCUAUACAACCAUUGUGCAGGAUCGGCAAUCACCUCCAUGAAAGUCUUAUCCUUCCAGUUGAUGAUGUAUCAGUGGUCAGCUUACCUAUAGACUACCAGCUGCUCCUGCGCCCUCCCAACAUCUGCCUGGUUCUGCCCAGCUCACGCCAUUUGCCUAUCAUCCUGUCCAUAUCUGCCUGGCUCCACCCCUCUCACUGCCUCUGAUCUGCCAAGCUAAUGUUUUCCCCACCCGCACAGUCACAUGACCCCAUCCACGACCCCCACAGACAGUUCUUGUCUGGUUCCACUGCCGCUGUUUCUCUCCUUUCUUCUUCGCGAUUCCCUUGUCGAGAUUAACUUCAUGUAUUCAUUCAUUUACUUCCUUCAGUUUUGGUUUUUAUCGUAAUUUACAUUUCGGCGAAAUGCGGUAGCCUGCCAACUUUACAUGGAAACAUUUGUUUGCCUUGCCUUUAUAACUCUCUCGCCACACUGCACAUUUGUUGUUACAUAUCAGGGAAGCAGAAAUCAGAGCAGUUCUGCCCCCUAGUGGCCUCCUCCAGUAAGCCUCCCAUCAGUAAGGCCUUACAAGCAGCACAGCCUCCCAGGCAUGGGAGAAGUGAAGGGGCCACUCUGGUCUGUCCCAUACAUGUUGUUACCUCAGUUCAGCAUUCUGAAGCAGUCAACCUCUAUGCAGUCUUCAGAGGGGUUUGUGCCGUUGCUUUCAGCUUGAGUACAAGUUUGAGUACAAGUCAGAGAAGUUUUUAUUUGUGUGUGUAUGUGUGUGUGUGUGUCACAUUUACCACUCAAACAAAAUAGUAUUGAAUCACACUGGUCAGUUUUGGACUUUGGACGUUUUGAGCAUUCUCCUUUUCAGAGUGUGUUCUUGUGGCUCUCCAAGAUCCUGCACCUAUGCACCUCUUCCAGGGUAUAUUUCUAAUGGUGCUUCAACUGGUGCUCCAACACACGAAGGCAUCAGCCCCAGCAGUCACGAUGACACAUCUAAUGUAAUCUGAACCACAAACUAAAACACCAGGUGAUCCCGCAGACUUACAGGCAACAGUCGAGCUGUUUGUUCAGUCAGCUUGUUGCUUUAUCCUCUCCAGUCCAGUCCUCUGGUCAAAUCACUUUUUUUUUUAACAUAAAAGCAGCCGUCGUCAUGGAUCUUCAGUGUUUCAGGAUUCCAGGGCAGUAGAAGUAUAAAAAAAGAAUCUAAACAAACAAAAAAGAACGAUUGAUUCCUUUCAGCUCCUACAAAUUCAUCUACUGGUUUCUCAUCUACAGCACAGGUCACCUUGCUGGGAGUCACGUCCUUAGAAUUGGGUCAUUGUUUUGAAUCGUUCAGGGUCAGCUCUCCUCAGAGGACCUAUCUGUUCUAUGAGAUGUGGUGUAUGUGCGUGGGAAUCUGUAGCCUGUAGGGUUGGUGCCCCUUUAGUCGCUAGUGCGGGUCAGUCCCCACAACAGUAUGACCAAGUCCCUUAGCCCCGCAUUCAUUUUGUUCAGCUCAUCUUAGAGCUGUUGCACUGAACCCAACCCUAUCUCUGUGACUUCUUAGUGUCCCUUUGACCUUGGUGGCCUGUGCCUCGAGACAUUAUAUGUACACAUAUAUAAAUAUACAUAGAUAAAUAUAUAUAAAAAAAAAUAGAUAUAUAUAAAAUGUGUCUUUACGUGCUCAGAAAAUUGUGACUUUAAAAAUAAUUAGAAUGAGAACAGAACUUUUAUUUGUUUCCAGUGUGGCCCUCAGUAUUCUAACCCCUCCUUCUGUUGAGACUGGUGUUUGUCAGAGAGUGAGUGUGUGUGUUUUAUUUAUUUAGCAUUUAGCCUCAGAGAUCUUUUUCUGAGCAUGAAGUGGCUUAUAGGAGAAAGUUCCCUGGUCUGGCAACAGAUAUAUAUGUCAGAGUUUUGCUCAUGGGCCUUAGCUGCUGUUCCCUGAGAUGUUCUUCAUCUCAAACAUAGGGCCAAAUGUCAUAUUACAAUGCUGGUUGCAGAGUAUGAAUUGGAUUUGAUUGGAUCUCCUCUUUAUCUUCAUUUUGUACAAGUAUCUUGCUGUACUGGUGACCUUAACAGGUACCGUCAUCAUAUCACUGAGGUCACAUGAGCAUUUAAUGCUCAUCCCAAACAAAGAGUUAGUUGAUAAUGUCUGCUUCCAGUAGGACAUUAUGAUGUGUCCUAGUCCUGCCACAUAAAAUGAAUUAAUGGUAAAGUUAACUAAAAACUCACUGUUUCUUGGUGUCCCCAAAGCACUAUCACUUGGGUUGCAAUGCAAGUAGUCAUUGCCAAGAUUUGAUUAGAAAUCUGUGAUGCAGCAGUAGCAAUGAGACAAAUUCAGCAGAACAGUGAACCCAAUCAUGCACUGGUGAGUGAGGAUUGUCACCAAUACUGUUAAAGUGGAAGUUUAAACACCUCAGUCACUGAGGCAUUGCCUACUGUUUUUUUUUUUCUGUUUCACUUUGUGUUUGUUUGUUUGUUUGUUGUUGUCCCUCUGCUGUUCCUCUCAGCUGUUGUGAGGUCUUAUGUGGACCAUGUCUGUCUGGGUGUUUUUAGAAUAGGACACCAUCAAAUUCAUUCCGUGUAAAACAAUAAAGGAAAAAAAGCAGAUUAUUAGACUGUUAAUGCUUCUUCUCGGAAGCCCUUCCAAAGGGUUGUUUGCUCUUCCAUGUUGACCGGUGUUGUGGCCGUCGUACCAGAGUUCUCUGUUCACUGUGAAAGCCCCUUGUUCUCUGUUGGGUGGAUGUAUGUUAUUCAGAAUAUGUCUGUCAAAGUGACAGUCAAAGAGCACUGCGGGUGGCACCUUUGGGUAGUGUCAUUUGUUUUUCUGUUUUUGUGGUUCUGUGUUGGUCAGUAAUUAAAGUUAGUAGCAUGUCUGCAAAUUAGGCAAUGCAAGAAGACAGGGGAACGUCCAAACCUUUCACUUUAACUUAAGGAGGAUAGGUAUGUUUUUUUUUCUCUCCUCCCUGUUCAGGUCCUUUACCACUGAAUACUUGAAGUAGGGGCAUUCUCCUACCCUGACAUUAUUAUAUAGUGUACAUGGUAGAAGAAAGAAAAUCACAAAAUUGUGCUGUUGCAUGAUCAUUUUUACUUAACGUGCCAACUAAUGUGAGCAACGAUUUAGGAAUACUGUCUUGGCCUCUAUGCACAGCACGGUAUCUCAGUGCACCAUGUGUGGGAAAGGAUGGGGGGCUGUAUCCACUGGCUCAAUAAAACUACAAAUUCUUAGCCAUGGGAUGACAGACUUCAUGUCGUACAAAAGGCCUGGGGGUAUGAAAAAAAUAUAUCAAAGAAACGUGUGACACUUCCUGUGUAUGUUUGGAUUUUCUUGCCCAGUUGCUUUUUUGUUUUCUUUAAUGAUGUCAAAAAUGCAAACCUCUGGAUGAAGCAAAACACUGUGACCAAUGCCAGAAACAUGUUUUUUGUUUUCACUUUUUUAAAAAGACAAUUGGUUUAUAUAUUUGUUUUUUUCUAUUUUGUUAUUUCUAUGGUUUAAGCAUUUGAAUAUGUACGUUUGAGAUUGUAAUACUUGUAUAUGUAAAUGUUUUUGCGUUGUACAGUAAUGAUUUCAAUCCAAGUUUAAUGUGAGCGUCCAGCAUGCUGAAUGAUUACUUGUGUGAACGUGGGGUCAAGUCCCAUGAUGCAUCAGUCCUCAUACAAUAAAAGGCAUCUGCAUCGUGCUGGUGGUGUGAUGUGUUUGAGAGUGGGGUGUCCUCUCUCCUGUUGUAUCCCCAUAGGUGGACAGCUUGUGCAUUUUUUUUUCCCAAUGAAAGUAAGUUUGCAUGUCUCUGGGGUGGUGUUGUUCAGUGAGCUGGAGAAAUGAGCCGACGGUGCAUGAGUUUGUGAGGGUGUGUGUGUGUGUGUGUGUGUGUGGUCGGGUGGGUGUAGUUUGUGUGUGGGUGAAUAUUAAAGAGGAGCUGAAACUCUCCAUCAGAGGAGACAGAGGGGGAGAGUUUGACUGAUAUUAUUCAGCAUGGGUACUGUGUGUCAUGUUUGGUGUUUUGAAAUCCAAUGAGGCUGUCUCAAGGGACACCAAGCCCCAAUCCACCCCUGGUGUUUGCUAUUGUGUGUGUUCUAUCAGAAUAUUACUGAGUGUUGGCCAGCUUGUUUAUAUCCAUUCAAUAAAGGUGAAUUUCUUUCUGAA
This is a long non-coding RNA of Clupea harengus (Atlantic herring), 4591 nucleotides long. RefSeq lists it as uncharacterized. The transcript has 4 exons. The record is from RefSeq and is a predicted model, not a curated record. Lineage: Eukaryota; Metazoa; Chordata; Actinopteri; Clupeiformes; Clupeidae.